AUUCAUAAGGGCGUAUGGUGGAUGCCUUGACUCUAAAAGGCGAUGAAGGACGUGGCAUGUCUGCGAUAAGCUUCGGGUAGGUGACUAGCAACCUGUGAUCCGGAGAUUUCCGAAUGGGGGAACCCAAUCUGUUGAACACAGAUUACCUUGUAUCUGUAAAGGAUACUCGGAGUGCACCUGGGGAAGUGAAACAUCUCAGUACCCAGAGGAAAAGAAAACAAUGUCUAUUUAUUUAGAUAAUAUUUCGUAAGUAGCGGCGAGCGAAAGCGAAAGAGCCCAAACCAGCAUAUUUUGUUAGUUGAAUCUGCUGGGAAGCAGGACCCUAGAGGGUAAUAGUCCCGUAAACGAAAACAAUCUAUCUUUUUUAUUGUUGUUCCUGAGUACCUCAAGACACGAAUGGCUUGGGGGAAUCUGCCGGAACUAACCGGUAAGGCUAAAUACUUUUAGAGAUCGAUAGUGAACAAGUACCGUGAGGGAAAGGUGAAAAGAACCCCGGAGAGGGGAGUGAAAUAGACCUGAAACCAUAUGCCUACAAGGAGUGGGAGCCGUCGUAUCUUACUGCGUAAGAACGACGGAAUUAUAAAUGAUAAAUUUUUAAUUUCGUCGCAUCUUGCAUAGCAAGAUGCGACGGUGACCGCGUGCCUAUUGAAGAAUGAGCCAACGAGUCUAAAUAUGCAGCUGCCUAAUUGCGUUAGCAAGGAGGCACAGCGAAAGCGAGUGUGAAUAGCGCGAAAAAAUUAAGUUGUAUGUUUAGGACCCGAAGCCAAGUGAGCUUGCCAUGAGCAGGGUGAAUUUCGUCGAAAGACGGAAGGAGGCCCGAACCGGUUAGUCGUUCAACUCUAUCGGAUGACUUGUGGCAAGUAGUGAAAAGCUAAUCGAACUUGGUAAUAGCUGGUUCUCUCCGAAAUAGCUUUAGGGUUAGCGUCUAGAUUACCUACUGGGGGUAGAGCACUGGAAGGAUUGAAUAGGGGGAAACUUCGUCAAUCCUAUCAAACUCCGAAUACCAGUAGUCAAUUUCUAGGCAGUUAGACUGUGGGGGCUAAGCUCCAUUGGUCAAAAGGGAAACAGCCCAGACCUACAUCUAAGGUCCCAAAAUUCAUACUAAGUGCACUUAAGGAGGUGAAAUUUCUCAGACAAUGAGGAGGUUGGCUUAGAAGCAGCCAUCCUUUAAAGAUAGCGUAACAGCUCACUCAUCAAGAGAUAUUGCGCCGCAAAUAAUCGGGGCUAAGUAUGGUACCGAAGGUUAGGAUGUCACAUUUUUAAUGUGGCGUGGUAGGAGAGCAUUCUGUUCUGCAAUGAAGCCAAAGGCGUAAGCCAUGGUGGAGCGUACAGAAGCGAGAAUGUUGGCACAAGUAACCGCAAUGCAGGUGAGAUCCCUGCACGCCGAAAGACUAAGGUUUCCUUCGCAAUGGUGAUCAGCGAAGGGUUAGUCGGGCCUAAGGAGAUGGUGAAAACCGGAUCUGAUGGACAUACGGUUAAUAUUCCGUAACUUCUUUAUAUUUCGAUGGAGUGACGGAGGACACAAGUAAGAGCACAUUAUUGGAUUUGUGUAUUUUAUUUUAAGAAUUGUUUCUUAGGAAAAUCCGGGAAACUGACUUUAAUGUCGAAUUUCGUAAAUAGAUUAAAUUUCUUCCCUCGGGUUGGAAAAUUCUUACGAAGAGCCUUCCAAGAAAAGCUUCUAAGGUUAAGUAUAAAGAACCCGUACCGUAAACCGACACAGGUAGUCAGGUCGAGAAGACCAAGGCGAACGAGUGAUAAUUCCCCAAGGAACUCGGCAAAAUAGCAGCCGUAACUUCGGAAUAAGGCUUGCCCUUCUGUAAAAGGAGGGGCCGCAGCGAAAGUAACCCUGCCGACUGUUUAUCAAAAACACAGCUCCCUGCGAACUCGCAAGAGGAUGUAUAGGGGGUGACGCCUGACCAAUGCCAGAAGGUUAAAUAUUGGUGGUACUCUGAUAUAAGCCCUGGUGAAUGUCGGCCGUAACUAUAACGGUCCUAAGGUCGGCGAAAUUCCUUGUCUAGUAAUUGUAGACGUGCACGAAUGGCGUAACGAGUGGGGUACUGUCUCGGGGAACAGCUCGGUGAAAAUACAAUACCGGUGAAGAUGCCGGUUACCUGCAGCUAGACGAAAAGACCCCAGGAGCUUUACUAUAGCUUGGUAUUGGGUGUAUGUUUUUGAUGCGUAGCAUAGGUGGGAGACUUUGAAGGGCAGUUUUUGGAUUGUCUGGAGUCAACAGUGAAAUACCACUCUUUAAAAAUGUACAUUCUAAUCUCGACGGAAAAAACGGCGGGAGACAGUAUCUGGCAGGUAGUUUUAGUGGGGCGCUAUCCUCCUAAAAAGUAACGGAGGAGCCUAUUAAGGUCAGCUAAGCGCGAAUGGAAACCGUGCUGAUAGUGUAAUGGCACAAGCUGGCUUGAUUGUGAGGCGUGCAUGCCGAACAAGUGCGAAAGCAGAGCAUAGUGAACCGACACCUCGCAUUAGACGCGGGUGAAGAUUAACGGAUAAAAGCUACCCUGGGGAUAACAGGCUGGUAUCGCCUAAGAGUUCAUAUCGACGGCGAUGUUCGGCACCUCGAUGUCGGCUCAACUUAUCCUGGGGCUGGAGAAGGUCCCAAGGGUUUGGCUGUUCGCCAAUUAAAAAGUUACGCGAGCUGGGUUCAGACCGUCGAGGUGAGACAGGUUGGUCUCCUAUCUGCUGCAGGCGUUGAUUCUUGAGAAGAUUUGCUCCUAGUACGAGAGGACCGGAGUGAACUAACCUCUGGUGUACCAGCUGUUCCGCCAGGAGCACCGCUGGGUAGCUAUGUUGGGAAUGGAUAACCUCUGAAAGCAUCUAAGAGGGAAGCCAACUUCAAGAUUAGGAAUCGUUUAAGAUCCCUGAGAGAUGAUCAGGUGAUAGGCUCUAGGUGUAAGCACAGUAAUGUGUUCAGCCGAGGAGUACUAAUGCAUCGAGACAU
Molecule: ribosomal RNA, 2950 nt
Filed under: Candidatus Campbellbacteria bacterium GW2011_GWC1_35_31
Lineage: Bacteria; Candidatus Campbelliibacteriota
Also listed under: 2 other names
Description: bacterial LSU rRNA
Rfam family: Bacterial large subunit ribosomal RNA
Source: RNAcentral